AGAUAAAAUGAAAGCUUGCUUUUAAUUUAUCUUAGCGGCGGACGGGUGAGUAACGUGUGGGCAACCUGCCUCAUACAGAGGGAUAAUCAUGUGAAAACGUGACUAAUACCGCAUGUCGUUUCGGGAGGGCAUCCUCCUGAAAGAAAAGGAGCGAUCCGGUAUGAGAUGGGCCCGCAUCUGAUUAGCUAGUUGGUGAGAUAACAGCCCACCAAGGCGACGAUCAGUAGCCGACCUGAGAGGGUGAUCGGCCACAUUGGGACUGAGACACGGCCCAAACUCCUACGGGAGGCAGCAGUGGGGAAUAUUGCACAAUGGGGGAAACCCUGAUGCAGCAACGCCGCGUGAAGGAAGACGGUUUUCGGAUUGUAAACUUCUAUCAAUAGGGACGAAGAAAGUGACUGUACCUAAAUAAGAAGCCCCGGCUAACUACGUGCCAGCAGCCGCGGUAAUACGUAGGGGGCAAGCGUUAUCCGGAAUUACUGGGUGUAAAGGGUGAGUAGGCGGCAUGGCAAGUAAGAUGUGAAAGCCCGAGGCUUAACCUCGGGAUUGCAUUUUAAACUGCUAAGCUAGAGUACAGGAGAGGAAAGCGGAAUUCCUAGUGUAGCGGUGAAAUGCGUAGAUAUUAGGAAGAACACCAGUGGCGAAGGCGGCUUUCUGGACUGGAAACUGACGCUGAGGCACGAAAGCGUGGGGAGCGAACAGGAUUAGAUACCCUGGUAGUCCACGCCGUANACGAUGAGUGCUAGGUGUCGGAGGNGAACCUUCGGUGCCGCAGCAAACGCAAUAAGCACUCCACCUGGGGAGUACGAUCGCA
Molecule: ribosomal RNA, 814 nt
Filed under: uncultured bacterium
Lineage: Bacteria
Description: bacterial SSU rRNA
Rfam family: Bacterial small subunit ribosomal RNA
Source: RNAcentral